GACGAACGCUGGCGGCGUGCUUAACACAUGCAAGUCGAACGGAAAGGCCCCUUUGGGGGUACUCGAGUGGCGACCGGGUGGGUAACACGUGAGUAACCUGCCCUUGACUUCGGGAUAACUUCAGGAAACUGGGGCUAAUACCGGAUAGGAAUCCUUGCUGCAUGGUGGGGGUUGGAAAGCUUCGGCGGUUUUGGAUGGACUGGCGGCUUAUCAGCUUGCUGGUGGGGGAGUGGCUUACCAAGGCUUUGACGGGUAGCCGGCCUGGGAGGGCGACCGGCCACAUUGGGACUGAGAGACGGCCCAGACUCCUACGGGAGGCAGCAGGGGGGAAUAUUGCACAAUGGGCGGAAGCCUGAUGCAGCAACGCCGCGGGCGGGAUGACGGCCUUCGGGUUGUAAACCGCUUUCAGCAGGGGCGAAGCUUGUGGUGACGGUACCUGCAGAAGAAGCACCGGCUAACUACGUG
This 465-nucleotide ribosomal RNA is filed under the name uncultured bacterium. RNAcentral's name for it is "partial 16S ribosomal RNA". It matches the Rfam family "Bacterial small subunit ribosomal RNA", at positions 28 to 507 of the family's 1533-position model. The record is from RNAcentral.